UGCGUAGGCGGUUCAUUAAGUCAGCGGUGAAAUACGACAGCUUAACUGUCGAGGUGCCAUUGAUACUGGAGAACUUGAGUACUGAUGAGGUAUGCGGAAUGGACGGUGUAGCGGUGAAAUGCUUAGAUAUCGUCCAGAACACCGAUAGCGAAGGCAGCAUACUAAGGAGUAACUGACGCUGAGGCACGAAAGUGUGGGGAUCAAACAGGAUUAGAUACCCUGGUAGUCCACACUGUAAACGAUGAUCACUCGAUGUUGGCGAUACACAGCCAGCGUCUUAGCAAAAGCGAUAAGUGAUCCACCUGGGGAGUACGCCGGCAACGGUGAA
RNAcentral lists this ribosomal RNA (328 nucleotides) under uncultured Sphingobacteriales bacterium. RNAcentral's name for it is "bacterial SSU rRNA". It matches the Rfam family "Bacterial small subunit ribosomal RNA", at positions 568 to 898 of the family's 1533-position model. Lineage: Bacteria; Pseudomonadati; Bacteroidota; Sphingobacteriia; Sphingobacteriales. The record is from RNAcentral.